UACGGAGGAUCCGAGCGUUGUCCGGAUUUAUUGGGCGUAAAGCGAGCGCAGGUGGUUUAUUAAGUCUGGUGUAAAAGGCAGUGGCUCAACCAUUGUAUGCAUUGGAAACUGGUAGACUUGAGUGCAGGAGAGGAGAGUGGAAUUCUAUGUGUAGCGGUGAAAUGCGUAGAUAUAUGGAGGAACACCGGUGGCGAAAGCGGCUCUCUGGCCUGUAACUGACACUGAGGCUCGAAAGCGUGGGGAGCAAACAGG
RNAcentral lists this ribosomal RNA (252 nucleotides) under uncultured bacterium. RNAcentral's name for it is "partial 16S ribosomal RNA". It matches the Rfam family "Bacterial small subunit ribosomal RNA", at positions 524 to 776 of the family's 1533-position model. The record is from RNAcentral.